AUGACACUGAAUGAACUGACG
Molecule: microRNA, 21 nt
Filed under: Strongyloides ratti
Lineage: Eukaryota; Metazoa; Nematoda; Chromadorea; Rhabditida; Strongyloididae
Description: str-miR-58-5p
Gene: str-miR-58-5p
Source: miRBase by way of RNAcentral